GUUUGACAUUAGAUAAAAAUUUAAUUCCAAUAAUAUACUGGUAUAAGGAAAAUUCAAAUUGGGUAGACAGACAAGCAGAGAAGAGCUGUGAUUCUUUAUAAGUCUAACACAUUGUAGUUUGGUGGGUGGAGACAAUGUCAGUUACAUUGCAAGUUCUAAAUCCUUUAGCUAACAAAUAAAAUAUUCAAAUAGAUUUUUGCAGCAAAAAAAGAGAUCCCAUUCCAAGUAAACUGUCUGAGCA
Molecule: non-coding RNA, 241 nt
Organism: Biomphalaria pfeifferi
Lineage: Eukaryota; Metazoa; Mollusca; Gastropoda; Planorbidae
Source: the annotation of a GenBank genome assembly